AUUGAACGCUGGCGGCAGGCCUAACACAUGCAAGUCGAGCGGAUGAAGGGAGCUUGCUCCUGGAUUCAGCGGCGGACGGGUGAGUAAUGCCUAGGAAUCUGCCUGGUAGUGGGGGAUAACGUCCGGAAACGGGCGCUAAUACCGCAUACGUCCUGAGGGAGAAAGUGGGGGAUCUUCGGACCUCACGCUAUCAGAUGAGCCUAGGUCGGAUUAGCUAGUUGGUGGGGUAAAGGCCUACCAAGGCGACGAUCCGUAACUGGUCUGAGAGGAUGAUCAGUCACACGGGAACUGAGACACGGUCCAGACUCCUACGGGAGGCAGCGGUGGGGAAUUUUGGACAAUGGGCGAAGGCCUGAUCCAGCCAUGCGGCGUGUGUGAAGAAGGUCUUCGGAUGUUAAAGCACGUUAAGUUGGGAGGAAGGGCAGUAAGUUAAUACCUUGCUGUUUUGACGUUACCAACAGAAUAAGCACCGGCUAACUUCGUG
Molecule: ribosomal RNA, 484 nt
Filed under: uncultured bacterium
Lineage: Bacteria
Description: partial 16S ribosomal RNA
Rfam family: Bacterial small subunit ribosomal RNA
Source: RNAcentral